ACGGAAGGCAGCAGUGAGGAAUAUUGGUCAAUGGACGCAAGUCUGAACCAGCCAUGCCGCGUGCAGGAAUAAGGCCCUAUGGGUCGUAAACUGCUUUUGUGGUGGAGCAGUAAGUCGUACGUGUACGGCGAUGAGAGUACAUCACGAAUAAGCAUCGGCUAACUCCGUGCCAGCAGCCGCGGUAAUACGGAGGAUGCAAGCGUUAUCCGGAUUUAUUGGGUUUAAAGGGUGCGUAGGCUGUGGUCCAAGUCAGGGGUGAAAGCCCGGAGCUCAACUCCGGAACUGCCUUUGAUACUGGAUUGCUGGAAUACGGAUGCCGUGGGAGGAAUGAGUAGUGUAGCGGUGAAAUGCAUAGAUAUUACUCAGAACACCGAUUGCGAAGGCAUCUCACGAAUCCGUCAUUGACGCUGAGGCACGAAAGCGUGGGGAUCAAACAGGAUUAGAUACCCUGGUA
Molecule: ribosomal RNA, 454 nt
Filed under: uncultured Rikenellaceae bacterium
Lineage: Bacteria; Pseudomonadati; Bacteroidota; Bacteroidia; Bacteroidales; Rikenellaceae
Description: partial 16S ribosomal RNA
Rfam family: Bacterial small subunit ribosomal RNA
Source: RNAcentral